GAAAUGCGAUAAGUAGUGUGGAUUGCAGAAUUCAGUGAAUCAUCGAAUCUUUGAACGCACAUUGCGCCCCUUGGUAUUCCAUGGGGCAUGCCUGUUCGAGCGUCAUUUGUACCCUCAAGCUUUGCUUGGUGUUGGGCGUCUUGUCUUCUUCUGGUGUACUCGCCUCAAAACAAUUGGCAGCUGGUAUAUUGGUAUCGGAGCGCAUCACAAGUCGCACUUUGUUCCAUGAUUGUUGGCAUCCAUCAAGACCAUUUUUUCACUCUUGACCUGUGAUCAGGUAGGGAUACCCGCUGAACUUAA
Molecule: unclassified non-coding RNA, 300 nt
Filed under: uncultured Pleosporales
Lineage: Eukaryota; Fungi; Ascomycota; Dothideomycetes; Pleosporales
Description: sequence contains ITS1
Rfam family: 5.8S ribosomal RNA (bases 1-105)
Source: RNAcentral